Rhea pennata is the source of this 12797-nucleotide long non-coding RNA. RefSeq lists it as uncharacterized. The record is from RefSeq and is a predicted model, not a curated record. The transcript has 3 exons. Lineage: Eukaryota; Metazoa; Chordata; Aves; Rheiformes; Rheidae.
AGCCGGGGCAGGGGGUGUGGGGGGGGGGGACACUCGUGCCGGCCGCACACGCCGCGGUCCCCCUGCUCAGCCUCCGCCGUGCCGCGCUGCCUCCCCCACCCGCGAAGCCGCGAUGCAGCAGCAGCAGCAGCAGCAGCAGCAGCAGCAGCAGCAGCAGCAGCGAGGAGUUGUAGCCGUGCCUGGCGGAGGGGGUGAGAGAUUGGCUCUACGGAGAAGGCUGACGGCUGCAGCAUGAAGCGCAUUAUUACCUUGUGAUUCCAUGACCCUCCUCUAUGCAUCCCUAACUCUCGAAAGCUGAUUCAGCUUUCAGCUAGUGCUCUGGUGAGUCCUCUGCUGCAACCGAAUCUCCUAACUGACGUUUGCAAACACCCAACGAUGCAUCCUUAAGAGUUUUCCCACAGACACAAGAAGAGACACAAGCCCUUGCAAUGUGCAUUCCCUCCUAUUGGAAGGAAAUUGCCUGCAGCCAGAGGAAAUCCAUGCGUUAGCCUGGAGCCUGUUUGCAGCCGCGAGUCGUAGGGAUGCUGAAUGGCUGUCGAGAUGCAGUUAUACAACAUGGCUCUGCCCUUGGCAAAAUAGCCAAGUGGCCGUCACCUCUAUACCUGCGAUCUGCAGACACGUCUCGGGACACUAUCUUUCACUGCCAAUUAUUUUCUUUGCAAUUAGCAAUGCCGGUUUCCAAGCACUACCCAAUCCCACCUCCUAAUUUCCAUCUCAGAAGCAUCAAGCAAAAGCAUCUACUGAGACAGAAAUGACUGAGUAGCAGAGUAAACAUCACCUUAACGUUGUUGCUGUCAAACCAGAACCAGAGAUUCAUAAACAAGGAAGGCUGGGGACAGAAGCGCAAGGGAAAGGGAAUCCUCAGGACAAGUCCCUAAUUGCUGGCAGUCUGGGCUGUGAAUGAUACCAGGACUCUAGAGGGAAAGGUUGAGUAGAAACAGAUGCUUCCAGCAGGCUGAGUGGACUAGGUUUCCAAAAUACCACGCUCCUCCCACCUGCUCCCGCAAUCUGGGUUAUUCUCUCACAUUCCCCAGGGCCGCAUCCAGCGUAAACAACACCAUUAUUGAAAUUCUUCCUUGGUAAUGAUAAUUAAGUUACUAAAAAAUGUCAAAUGGGGAAGCUGGUGGCAUCACGAGUUGAACAAAACCGUAGAAUGUAAAUGAAUGUGCUUUCUCCUUAAAGAAGCACCGGAGGAUGAGAGCUCACCUGCUGCAGCAGCUUCGGUGAUUUGUCUUUUUUAACGUGGCUGCCAGAUUUUCUGCUGCCGGCACCUAUGCCCAGCACAGACAUGCAUGUUCCUCCACAGGCAACCUUGAAAGCAUUUGCUAGCUGAAAGAGCUAUUUCCACCGGAAGAGGAUGAGAUGCGAGUGUGGAUGGAAAUUCUCACAGGUGCUGUACGUGCAACACUUCCUAGGGAAGUACACGAUUUUUUUGUUACACAGUUUGUUUUCCAAACUAUGGUGUUACUCUCCGAUGUCAAACACUCCAGCCACUCUGCAAACCUGAGUGACAAAACGUUGGCACGCAGGUCCGUAUUUAAGUGCCCCCAAAGCCAUCUGAGCCUUGAAUAGCAGAAACUUCCAGUUCUUUCUAAAAUUUACAGGAGAUAUGAAUACUCAGGGCUUAUAAAAGUUAGGCUGCAUAUUUAGAUGCUUAAAUGUAGAUCCUGUUACGCACCUUCAGGCGCCCAUGCUUGAAAAUUUCUGCCAAUAUUUUUAUUGCCUAAUUAUGUUUUUAUAGAAUAGGAAAUUCAAUUCACUUAACAAGGAAUUUCUAUUGCAGUAUAGCCUAUUAUGGCCUAAUCAAGGAAAUACGAGGCCCAAGUGCACAGCAGCUGGUAGGCUUCAGGGGAUUCUCUAGGGGCGGCUAACAUAUAGGGACACACCUAAGACCGGGGCCAAAAAUUACCUGUGUCCUUCCCAACAGCUAGUGUGUCAGCUCUGUUCACUCUCAAGUCGCUUCUGGUACAUCAGCAGCGUUUUGGAGCUAACGAGGCCACCUCGCCGGCUGCCCGUCUCAGCCAGGGGCUGCCCGGGUGGGGAACUGCCCAAAGGCCUGAGGUGGGUCCCGUCCUGCCGGGGGGAGACCCACGGGGCCAUGCCAUGCCGAGGGCAAGCACCCCCCGCAGGUCAUGGGGGCAAGUAGAGGUACCUGGGGGGCAAAGUAAAUGCACCGGUGGGACAGAGCAGACGCAGUGGCGGAAUGAAAUCAGUGCACGCGGAGGGCAACGUUAAACGCGCUCCUGGGAUGAAGCGCGUGCACCCACGGGAGAGCCUGUGUGCCAGGGGCUCAAGCAGAGUCACGCAGCCGCUGGGGGCUCGCAGCCCCACCGCUGCGCUUGCCGACACGAAACGUCCCGGGGCUCCAGCACCCUGCGCCUGUGCCACAUGGCUCGCGUGGCAGUGCGGAUAGCCCCCUUUUCUUAUUUGCUUGACAGGCUAAAAAUGAGAUCUGCUUCCUUCUCUUUCCCAUAAAGCACAACUCUGAAGUUUUUCCACUGGCUUUGAAAACCCCGGAUUAGGUUCUGGCCGGGUCAUUAUAAGGCUUUAGCCAACCACCCUUUAACCACAUCAAACCUAAUUGUCCUCCGUAUGCACUGAGAGGCUCCUCUGCUGGCCAACCAGACAGUGCUGGCUUCCUGGAAACCCUAUUAGCUUCUCAAACAAAGCAAUCGUGAGGACUCAAUCCUGCAAGCCUUUUGUGCAAAUAUUAAAUAACAAUGAAUAAUUAGCAGGAAUAAUCCUUUUUGCUUGACCUCUUCUGUAAUAAAGACCCCUGUCGGCAAAUGCAAACGUUAUUUUGAGCAGCAAUUUAUAAUCUAAAUCUGCUAAACACAUCAGCCUAAAUACACUAAUACUCUAAUAUCCACACUAUUUAUACAAGACUUAACACAGAUCAAAACAGACACAUUUUCUGUCCCAAAGACCUCACAGCAUUCAUCAGUCAAGUGUAGGUAGUAAAGGUGGCAAAGAAAGAGGUAAGGAAGAGAAGGAGAAAAUUAAGAUGGAAGAAACAAAAUAGGUAACUAAAUUUACCUACUAACUUGGAUUACAUUCCUUAGGGCUCUGCACAUGCUUUCUGGUUGUUUUCCAAGAGAGUGGUAAAAUAUAACUGCAUUAACACAAGACUGCUAACAAAGAGGCAGAUUUCAACUCUCUUCCCCAAAUAUGUCAUCCCUGUUUUCUCAUGCCUGGAGAGGGGGAAAAAAAAGAUGAUCUCUUCAUCUCUUCAGCUUGCUCUGCAGGCCAUAAGCUUCUGAGUCUUUCCAACUGUUUUGAUUUGUCUCUGAGCAUUAGCAGAUGGAUCUGAUCCCACCUACAUGUACAUGUCUUCCUUGCUAAUCUUCUAUUUAGGAACCAAGCCACGAAUCCACACCAGAAACCUGCUGCCUGGUCAUUCCUGAACUUUGGGGCCAUAUAUUUUGGAGCUAGACCCACUUCUACCACUGUCAUUGUUUCCCUCUGAUACAUCUGCAAAGGCGUCUUUUGUGGAGCAAUCAGAUUAGUUGAAUUUUGUCCAAGGAGUUUUAUUGUAUGCAUCCUUUUCCUUCGUGCAGUUUUCCUGCGAGAGAAGAAAGGACAAGCAAGCAAACACACAGAUAAUUGUACCGCAGUGACAGUUUGUCAAGUGAAGGAAACACAUUUUUAGUUGAGAGAUGAACGUUACAGUAGUGCUUGAGCAGAAACCUCUUCCCUUCCUCACAGAUGGCAUUGACAUAUAGCCUGAAGGGGCUAUCAGGGUACAAAACUAAAAAGAUGGUUAAAGACGUUAAAAAUUAUACGAUGUGAGCCCCAUCUACACUAGGACCAUCAGCUAAAAGGAAGAUUCAUUUUGAUGUAUUGGGCAGAAGACAGAACUUCUGCUGAUGUUGCAUACAACUCUUGAGUCAAAGAUAUUUUUGAGACAGAUGAAAUAUAUAUUAGCCUGCUACUAAUUAUACCUUUCCUAGUUGGUUUUUAUUGACUCUUUAAAAACUAUUACCAAUAAAUGUGAUGAUCUGCCUUCCCCUUUCUUUCUGGGUGAAUGAUCACUCCUGUAGGGAGUUUAUCACUUAAUAUAAUGACCAGUUUGAUCCGUUCAUGUUUGACUCCACUUUCCAGCAAGCUAUUGAACUCGUUGUCUUCGUUUCAGGGCUGCCAACAUUUCCAAGGUUCUGCCAUGGCUUCUGUUAAGCUGUAAAAUAAGUAUCACACUCAGAACAAAGUUAUAAAUCUUGCCACAGGAUGAAGGGAAUUUGUGUUUCUGCAUUCACUGAUUUUGGUACUGUCCAAGUCUGUAAUUUGCUUGUGCAGAGGAUAAACUUAAUAUUCUUGCUCCUUUUUAGUAAGACAUGCAGCUCUUCUGUACAGUGGGUCCGACUGGAGGGACAGAGGGGAGGCAAAGAGGGGAUUUCACCUGCUGGAAAAUACCUUCUACUUCCCCCCAAAGCAAUGGAAGUGUCAAUAGUAUUGACACCGCCACUAAUUAAAAAUGACUGCCAUAAGCAUGCAUACACUAGCUAUAGGACAUCAGCUUGGAUUAAAUAUAAACCACGAGGUGCGCUGCACAGAUUGCUGAAAUGUAUUAAAGCCUGGAUGAUGGUAUCUUCUGCACACCCAAGCAAGAAACGACAAGGACUGCUCAGUUCUUACACUCAGGCCACUCACCGGCCACGUAGCCACGGUGAGCUGUACAGCAGAGCGACCAAACGCGCAACCUGAGCUCUUUGCAGCCGUGAGAUGAAAUGUGUCUGUGUGCACUGCUUUGGCUGAGGUUUAAGCAAAUGUCCUUUACUUCGUAUCUGACGUGGGCAAAGAGCCUGAGCCUGGCCAGUCCUAGCGCUCGGCGGGUGUAUACGUUACCUCAGUUACUGCCCAUUUUAAUGUUUUUAUCUGCUCUCAUGUUACGCUUGUGAUCUCAGCUGGCUCUAGGUAGUUGCCUUUUGUCAUACAGCACCAAAACAAGCACUGAGAUGCUCCAUGUUGUCCCAGUGGCUGCAAGGUGUGACUGCAGAGCUGGUCUGGGGCUGAGCAGUGAGGCAUCGUCUGAGCUGCUCUGCCUGCGGGUGGGCGAGAGGGAGCUAAAUAACUCACUGGCUGGUGGAAGCAGAGCAUGGCCAGAUUCUCUCCUGAAGGCACAAGACACUGAGCACCAAGGACGUUCUUUUCCACCUCCAUGUGGUACUUCGUAUCACUUAGCACCUCCCGCCGAUAACGUUUGCCUCCAGGCCUUUCUGCCCUCCCUCUCCAAUAAAGCAUUUUGCACAGCACAUGAAGGAUAGCUUCUGCUUUCUCCAUUUACCACUAUGGAAAAAAGGAGAGAGAGGGAAAGAGAUCCUCAAAUAUUUCCCAAAUACACGUGCUCAGCUGUGAGCUGCUAUCCUGCCAGGUGGGAGGGGUGGCCCUGUGCUACACUAACUUGGGAACAAGUAAUAAAGUAUCAUGCAGUUCCUCCUCCGUGGUCUGCAAGGCAUUAAUUUCUAGCCUCCUUCCUGGGAGGCAGCUUCUCUCCUUCCCAUUUCCAGACUCCUCCAUCCCCCAGCCUCUGUCACCUCCUGGCUAAGGGGAAGACCUUGUUUUCUUGGCAAUUGUUGAUAAAUAAUUAGCUCAUGUUGCUCCUGUCCAUGACCAUGGAUGGAAGCAGGGCUGUGUUUCCCUAAACAUCACCUCUAAAAAGCACAGCCUUUUUUCUUAAUCUCUCUGGCUUCCCAGACUGGCUUACAAGGUUCCUCAUUCUCUGUUUGCAUAGUUUUACUCAAAAAGUCUCUCUCAAAGGCAAAAAGACGUAUGUUCCUCCACAGGGUGGCCUACAUGGCUCUCUGUGCCGCACAUCUAUUUGCCUAAAUAAGGUGCUCUCAUGAGUUUGGCAAUGACUGCCAGGGGCUCAGAAAAGCCUAAUGAAGCUGCUGUACGUUUCAGGAACUCCUACGGUAUUGAAGAGGAAUUUCCAAGCCCGAUGUCUGUUCCUUCUUACUUACUUCCUACUCUCAAAUUUCUUUGUGAAGUUCCAGCCUGCUCCAUGCUUUCGUAAUGAAAUAUAAGUAGACUUUUGUCUAAUAGCACAUCAGCAAAAGCCUGUUUGCCACAUGUAUCUUUGCAAGAGAGCUUGUUUUUCUUUACAUAUAGAAAAGAUGAAAGGGAAAGCCUGUUGGUUUUGUGUUUUAUAAGGUAAAAUAUGCGUCACUUGGAAAGUAAAGGUCUGCUCCAUCUUUGCAUGGUGAGGAGAGUGCCAAAACAGCCCCAAAAGGACAGAAGGAGAGCAGGGGGAGGUGCCAGAUUCAGAAAAAAACAGUAGAAGAGAAAACCAUUAUAUCAUUCACGUCAACAGCCAGCACUUCCCAAAUCUAAUGAUCCUGCCCCAAACUGCCACUGGAGAGGCUUAAGGGUUUCAUCCUUCUUCAUUUAAAGAGGACAGAAUGUGAAGCAGAUAAGAGAUUUUGGGAACGCUACGAGCAGCCAGAAAGUAGCUGUUGACCUGAACCUCCUCCAGAUGCCUCUCGAACCCGGGAGAGAAGUCGGGUCUGGCUCCAGAGCUCCUGCAGCGCAGCUCCGGGCUGUCUCCGGCACCGCGGAGGGCUUCGCCAGCAGUCCCGCUCGGCCCGACCGAGCAGCUUCGCGGUGGGAGAGCGCUUGCCUGGGCGCCAGCGUCGGCGCGGGCGAGCGGCCAGCGCGCUCCGGCCGGUCCCCGGAGCGCUCCGGCCGCACCUGCGGCUGCUCUUUGCCCUUCGGAAUAACCAGCCAAGGUGCCUCCCGCUUGGCACGGUGGUGGAUGCAUCGAGGCACCCAUCCACCAUCAAGGAAGGUGCCUUUUACGAAAACGCCUCCGUCUCCUGGAAGUGAAACUAGAAGGAAACCCAGCAAUGAACACUUAAUCCUCAGCUGUGCUGGACGUGCUAAAUACUUCCCCAUCAUGCGUUUUAUUCACUUUAAACCUUUGGUUCUUAUAUCCAGUGAGCAGUUUGACACUGGAAGUUUUUAUGUCAAAUGUUAGUAGUUUUUCAAGCAGGAAUAAAUUGAUUCAUGAGUGGAUAAAUCCGAUGCAUCUUUUAAAUGGAAAACUGACAUAAUUUUCCAUCAGAGACCUGCUAAUAAAGCAAAUUCACUUAGUUAAUCCAUUUUUUCUUUGCUAAGUGCACUAUAUAAAGUAUAAAAAUAUCAAAUCAAUAGCCAAAGAGUAUAUAAAAAUGAGACCGAGUGAUCAGAAACCAUGUGUGAGCCACAUCUUUCGAUGGCUUUCUGGUGGAUUCAGCUUUAUGCUUCUACUUCCUAAAGACCUGCUCCCCAGGUUGUCCCAGAACAGCAAGGCUGCAAAAACGCAGAUGCCCCCCACGCUCGUGGAGGGGAGCAGUGGAACAGGCCACCGCCUGCAAGGGGCUUCAGGGCAUCAGCUCUCCUGCAGUUCUCCCUAUUUUUAGAAAUCAUUAGUUUAAAGGUGUAGGACCUUUUUUUAAUUCUCUUUUUAUUUCCCCCCCCUUUUUUUUUCUUGAAGGAGCUGCAUAGCAGAAACACGUGUAAAAGCCCAAGACAUCUUCCAAUACAUUUGCUUGAAGAACUCAUCACACGCCCUGCCAGGGAAUCUGCACAAACACCCUCCUUUUUAUUUUUCAGUUGGAAUAUAGUGGUGUUAUUUCAAAGAAAAUGCCUGCACAGCCUUCUCUCUGAAAACGCUGCAACCGUCAUUCGAUCAGUGCAACUCUCUUGUGUGAGUUAAUUUAACAAGCAGUUGCUUUGCAGGCUGUGGAGAAUUGCCUCUUACCUAAUAAUUCUGCUAAUUUGCUUAACUUUCCCAGAUUGCAAACAGCCCUACUCUGACCGAGCACCUUUCUAAAUGAACCCUCAGACAAUUUCCCGACAGGAGGGGAGAGGAGAGGAUGGCUUGGGAGAGCAACGCUCAGAGUCUUCUAUUUUUGACCUUUGGGCCAGCAUUCAGUUAUGCUUGUUGGGAAAACUGCCUUCAAAGUGUAUUUUCUUCAGGGAUUUACAAUACCCUUUUGCUUGUAAUUAUUCUCACUUGAUGUCUUCCAUAAAUUAGUUAAAGAUGCUUCUAUUAGUGAGUUCCAGUCCUUUUAAUUAUCUCGCUGAAGUCUCCUUAAUUUGUGGCCAUGAGCUACAACACAGGAACUGCCAUCCUUGAAAUGCUGCUGGCCCGUGGCUAAAGACAGAGAAGUCAGGAAUGUGCGCGGACAGUGCAAACAUCUGGGCAAGCCAGGAAAGAAUGAAAACUGCAGAAAGGUAAAUGUCAGACUAUUUAAAGACAAUGUUGACUAUUGAUUUUUUAGAGGAGACUACCUCUUCAAAGGCUGGCAAGCUUUCCCUGAGAUACAAAUGAGGCACCCGGAAGGAAGGGAAAGAGAGGGAGGGGAAUGAGCAGGGAAGAGAUAUUUUUCCUGAGAGCAAAAUGAACCCUUUACAAAGCCUGUGGGAUUAAAGCUGUGGCUUAUUUCUUUCAUCACAAGUCUACCCUCCAACCCACUUAAGCACCAGGCGCUUUCCAAGCAAACGGAGGGCAAAGCAGUGUUUGGGAAGUGCUGAUGAGCAAUAAGGAGAUAAGCGGCAAAGUAUUUGUUUCGUUGGUGUUUUCCAGUGAAAAAUGAACCUUCAAGCACACCCGGUGAUUUGUUGCCUAAGUGGCAAAGCUCACCAAGUUUCUGAUUUUGCUUCCAGCUGAGAUGCUCGUUGCUCACCCUCACACCCUGGAACAACCCAGACUCAUUAAGCCGGUUUUGCUUGUCCUUCAGGCUGCCCCAUCGAUCCUGGACAUACCUUCCCGGCACGAGCGAUGCCAGAUCUGCCUGGGAACACCACCAGCUGGAGCUGGGACGUGCUCAUCCCUGCUGGGGCAAAGAUCUGGGCAUGUGAGGUGCAGCUAGCAAAAGGAAGGAAGGGAAACCACCUGGCAGGUUAUGAUUUCAUAUGGAUUAAGGGAGAACUGAGCCUUGAAUAAAAGGCUUGUUUAAAGAAAUAGGCAAACACACAUACACAUUUUAUUUAUACAUAUAUAAAUACAUAUACACACACAUAAACUUGCCUUAUGUCCCCUGCCAUGAAAUCUCUGCCAGUGCACCCUGGAGCAGAUAUUGCUGUCCUUGGAUAUCUGCAUCUGCAGGGAGUUGUUCAUUUCUAUUGCAGAGACGAUGCUAAACACGGUGCUUUGGGAAAAUGGCAGGAUAAGAACUUAUUUAGGGGAUUCAAAGGUCUCCCAGACCUGCCUUUUUACAAAAGGAAACUUCUUCUCUCAAUGGGUGCUUUCAAACAGGAGGAACAAAGGAUCUAAUCCACUGAAGUGGAAUGUCUGCAAGGGCAAAUUAAUUUUGCAUUUGGAUACAAUGCUUUUUUAAAAAGGCUAAUUUAGUUUUUAAAGGAAGAAUGAUUAUACACAUCCACACGGCAAGAUAAUGAGUGAAAAGACCAAAGGAAAUGACACUCCCUCCAGCGAUUGCCUCCCUCCCUGCACCCCACCAAACCGUCACCCAAAGCAGCGAGGCCAGGGCUCUGCACGCUGCUUCCGCGGAGGCUGGUAGCUGGGCACAUGGCUGUUUUAAUCUGGAGCCCACCCAUGACAGUGCAGUUGCAACUGUUUUGCUUGCAUCUCCUUGAUAUUUUUUGCAAGACAGCGGGUCUGUUGGGGAUCGUGAGCGGUUCUGUGGAAACAGCAUUACCAGUUCAGGUUACGCCAGUGAGUCUCUGACCCCUGCAUGUAUAAAUUACUCAGGUCUGUAGUUCAAUCUGGAUCAAAAGUCUGUUACUCAUAAAUAAAGGGGGCUGGCCUGGUGCAGUGGGUUAAAGCAGGUUUCAUCGGUAUUGGAAUUUAAAGAUUAUAAAAUGCCACUUUGAGGCUUUAUGCAGUUGUUCAGAAACACUUUUUCUGCCAUGAAUUUGGUUCUGAGAACAGAUCUGGACCUUAGAGCUAUUACUGCUUGAUUUUAAGAUACGAUUUGUCAUGAUUCUAUGAUUCUAUGAUCCUGCAAGCUGCCCCAUGUAAAAAGCUUCAGGAUACUAUACCGAAAGGACAGCUACAAGAUCUGCAGAUAGCUGUCGACGUUAGAGGUGAGCACCUGAGUUUACGGGAGUACCUCAGCGUCGCUACGUUACUUGGGUAAAGCUGGGGGGUCGUUACCGACUUUGUUAAAUCUGAAGCAGCUACACUCAAGAAACAGGCUCCCAAGGCUCUGUGUCCCAUCCUCCCCCCCUUGCAAGUCUCUUGGGCACCUUGGUGUGAAGAUCACUAGAAGGCUAGGUAGCCGUCUAGAAGAAGCUAGGUAGCCCUCUUUGGCAGCCAGUCCACGCAGCAGGAAAACCUGAUUCCUCGCAGAUACUGAACGCAGUGCAAUGUGGCAUUACUGCCUGGGGUAACUUUUAGUUUGGAUGUAUUAUUUCAGUAAGGAGGUCUUCAGACAGCGUUAAAUGACAGAUGAUAUAAUUUUUGAAUAUGAUGUUCAUCUGAAUUUUAUUUUCUGAUGUUUUGACUCAUUGACUUGAUGUCUCUCUAUUAUGCACACACCUCUGGAGAUGUUGCUGGCAAUGAUUAUGCGUAGCAUUGAGUUAGUGAAUAAAACCACUCCAGGAACUGCUUUACAGAUCACAGUAUCGUUUUCUCUAUAAUUGUCCCACAAACGAUGGAAGUUAUAUGGAGAGAACCAUGUUCUCUGACAGACUGCAUAUUUUUGCAGCAUGCAUCAGAUCUCACUUUGGCUUCUGAGACUUAUUUCUGAUGGUUCUUGGGGAUUUAACUUUAAGACCAGUGUAUUUCAGUAUCCAUAUACUCCACUGUUCAUGUCACCCAGCAGCAACAGAGGAUGAGCUGUCUCCUUAAUAUGGAUGAGACACCAAUUUAUCUAAGUUAUCACCUCACAAUCUCUCAUUCAUCUCUGCUGUUAACUGCUGUGUUUCUGACAGCCAUUCCCAACUUAUCAGCAGCUUCUUCGCCUUCAAUUGAAACCAUAAGUAAUUUUUGGCUGGGCGUUCUUGUUAUAUAUAUAAUGGCUUCUUCAUCUCCCAGCUGGAAUUCAAUGAUCAGGUGACUGAAUCAAGCUCUGGACACCUCAUUUUAAACCCAGAAUAUUGCAUAGACCAACACAGCAAAGUAAAUCACAAGUCAGGGUAUCUUUCCACCGUCCGAAAAUAUACGACCAAAUUAACGUGUCCCAAGCUUACUUUGAACAGUACUACAGCUCUGACUGCGAACAGCCAGGCAUUUGACCGCAAACUCAGCAAUACUUUCCUCCUUCCUAAUGCAUUCCCAAAUCUGCAGAACUUCCCGGUAUUCUCUUUACGGAAGGUCCCUGCAGUAUUAUGUAUCAAAUCAAAAGGUCUCAUUACUUAGUUUCUGGUUCCUUCAUGCCAUUGCUCUCAUUUAUCAUCUUGUUCUUCAAGCUUGGGCUUCAUGCCAUUAGGACUGUCUUGCUCCCCACCCCUGGGGACCGCCAGCCUCCAUCCCGGACAGUUGGGGUCUAAAAUACCGCCCGGCUCCGGGGUCAAAGCCGUUGGCUCUGAAGAGCCACGGUACUGUGAGUGUUGUGCCUGGCAGCUCCUCUGCUCCAAGGCUAAAAGGAAAACUAAGUGUUUGUGCCCCAAAGCCAUCAGGUUAAUCCCUUCAUAUUUCCCCUCAAAAUUGUUGGGAACAAUUCAUCACAGGGAAUUUGCUUCAUGUAGUUCUCCCCCAUUUAAGUUCCCAUUUUGGUUUUAUUUCCAAUGAGCUCUCAGUCCUGGCACAGAGACCACUUGAAAAAUUGUCGUUCUCUGAAUUUCCCAUUGAAAGAGCCGCUGCAGCCUGCAUUUCCCACCCACCUUCACACUAGUUACUGCCCUGCUCACGCGAUGCAUCAGCAGUUCUGUUUGCAAUGUGUAAUCCAUGAAGUUUGCUACUUUCUCUGGGUAAUAUAUUUUCCAGGAGCGCAAAUGACUUGCUCAAAGCAUUAGAAUCUAAUUCUCUUUGUGCUGAGGAUGAAAUGCAAAAAGCCAGAAGAGCAGAGGAGAGCAGAUCCCCCCUCAGCUCUACAAAUUCACAGAAUUCAAUGGUUUAUUCAUUUUAAUUAGCCUUGGAAUUCAUAUAUAGGUGUGUGUAUAUAUAUAUGUAUGUGUGAAUUCAUAUAAUGAUACAUAAUUAAUUUAGAGUUUGGCAUUUCAGAACAGGUAAUUAAAAUAGUUCAUUGUUGAUUAAUCACUUGCAAAAUAAAUUAUUAGCAAUAUCCCUGUUAGCAUUAUGUUUAUUACUACAAUUUAGAGAAAUUAAGGCAGUUCACUUACAUUAAAUUAAACAUGAAAGCACAGAUGUAAUGUACCCUAGACAAUAUCUAUUUACUCUGAGAACAAAUGUGAUGUGUGCAUUACAGUACAUUUGCUAGGUCAUACAUCUUGGAUGUCCUCCUCAUGUCAUCACCAGAAACCUAAUACCAGCACACAGACUAUUCCUGUCUCUUUCUGUAAAUAUAGAAAUAAGAUUUGUUGGACUUUAGCAUUCGCUCUACACUACCUUGACCCUCAAGCUGCUCUGAUCAUCCGUGGACGCUGGAGGCAGUUCAGCCGGAGAAGGGUGGCCAGCACCUCGAACCGCGAGUGGCCGAGGGUGGCUCUGCGGCCAUGCUGCGGUGCGUGGGACAGGGACAUGUCCCCUCACUGGUGCCAACAGGGCAGAGAAAGGUCCACAUCCAAUCCAAGCCCCUCAAACAGAGAAGUAUCAAAUAAAAUCAAAUUAUUCAACCCUCGGUGGUCACCGAGGCCACAAUUAUGAGCCAGAUUAUAGCCAAACUGCACAGAAAUGGAAUAAAUCUCAGUCCAGCUCUAUGAUAUCCUAAAUAAAACACUUAAUUAUAAAUUGA